This 541-nucleotide ribosomal RNA is filed under the name uncultured eukaryote. RNAcentral describes it as "SSU rRNA". It matches the Rfam family "Eukaryotic small subunit ribosomal RNA", at positions 4 to 583 of the family's 1831-position model. The record is from RNAcentral.
CUGGUUGAUUCUGCCAGUAGCAUAUGCUUUCCUCCUGGAGAUUAAGCCAUGCAAGUCUAAGUAUAAGUUAUAUACGGCGAAACUGCGAACGGCUCAUUAAAACAGUUAUAAUUUAUUUGAUGAUGUUUUUAUAUGGAUAACCAUUUUGGGAAACUAUGGCUAAUACAUGCUUACAGACCUUCGGGUUGUAUUUAUUAGUUUUUUCCGAUCUCUGAUCGUGAUGAGUCAUAAUAACUGAUCGAAGCGCACUUGUGUGUGCUAAAUCUUUCAAGUUUCUGCCCUAUCAGAUUGUUGGUAGUGUAUUGGACUACCAAGUCGAUCACGGGUAACGGAGAAUUAGGGUUCGAUUCCGGAGAGGGAGCCUGAGAAACGGCUACCACAGCUACGGUAGGCAGCAGGUGCGUAAAUUACCCAAUCCAAACUCUGGAAGGUAGUUACAGGAAAUUUGUUGCAUAGGCUUCUAGCCUAGACACAAACGAACACAUGUAAGUAUUGUGUGUUUAAUUGGAGGGCAAGUUUUGGUGCCAGCAGCCGCGGUAAU